UAGAGUAAAAUUUCCUUUUCAAAUCAUUUAUUUAAGUAAUGCAAGAGCAAAACAAUAUUAGGUAAACAGCAGCACAGCUAAGCCUGCAGAUACGCAAGAACCACAGAGCUGGAACCCUGGUAGCUGAAGUUGGGGACACACAGCUCUGCACAACAUCACCCCCCGCCCUGCCCCACAGCGAAUCUUCUUUACUGUCAGUGACUUGGCCUCUUGGAUUCCCUGACUCAAUAUGAUCAAGAAGAGAGAAAAAAAAUAGGCAUUUGCAGUGAGCUUUCAGUUACUCUGCCAAGUAGCAAAGCCAGGUGUCUCCUUUGCUGUCUCUGUCUACCUCUGUACAAAGAUGAUAAACUUCACUUUCCAUUCCAUUUUAGAAUGUAUUUUCCAUUCCAUUUUAGAAUGUAUUGUCCAUUCUCUGAUGUCAAUUAUGCCUUAAGUGCCACAAAUCUUAAGCUGAUAAGGGAGGCCUUAAUGAGCUCCAGGGUUUGGCUGGAUCAACACUUGCCUGCAGCCCAUUCUCAGAGAUACUGCAGGCUACGGACCUUGAGCUUGGGAAAAGCAAGUUCCUAGAGAAGGAGAACUCCUGGCUGGUCUGUGCAGAUGUUUCUAGGUAGGUCUUUUUGAGGUUUUGAAACAAUCCUGAAGACAGUGCUGGAGGCUGUAGGCACUGAACAGACAUGAGGAGACUGUUUCGAGAAACCUCCUACAGCUCUCCUACGGAAAACAGCAAAUAACCCAAACUAACUGACCUGGCUGGGUGCUGACGGUGGGCUGUAUACACAUGACCCCACUUGAUCUAAGGAGGAAAGCGCUGGUGUGACCCCCAUUCACAGGCUCCGAGAAGUUGGGUGACUUGUCCACGGUCACCCAGACAGAGAACAUUGGAGACGGAACUCAAAUCCACGUCUGACUCCAGGGGCAGGGAGCUGCUCUGAGAGGCAGGAGGGGAGGCUGGAGCCAGCCAGGGUUCUCCUUGCGUGGGCGCCUGAGGAUGGGCAAGGCCAGUGAGCCCCGGUGCUCAGUGUUGGUCUCAUAGGUCAAAGACAGCCAAAUAUUAGCAACUGCACACGUUGUCACCUAAGAAAUGCUAUGGGGAAGGGGCUUUCCUCGGUUCCCUGCUGAAGUCCAGUAACUAGCACGGUGCCUGCCACAGAGGAGGUGCUCAAUAAACGCUCUUGCCUGAGUGGAGACAGGUGGCCAUUUCGGGGCUGGGACUGCCAACCCCGUGGGCUGUCAGCCCAGGAGGCAGAACGUAUUCUAGGGGAACCCUGCAGCCUCUGAGGGUUCUCUGGCUGCCCCGGGGGGCUCCCCUAUUCCUAUGUGAGCUGCCUCACAUACGUUCCUGGCACAGGAAGAUGGCAGUUCUUAACCCAGAUAAAUGCCUGGCUAAUGCGGGACUUUUGUGUGUCAGAGGAGUUCCAGAGAGAGUGUGAGGCCACCUUCCCCAGGGAGUGAGCAUGGGGCAAAGGGCUGGGAGGCAGGCUCCGGCAGGGCAGUGGACCCAGUUGGCCAUAUAUGCCCAAAGAUGACCAUUUUAUACACCAGUGUCUAAUGAAGGUUGCAGGCGAAUGUGAAUGGAACUAAUGAGAAAAUAAUUAUCUAAGCCGGGAGGCCACCCAGGCUCUGGAGGCGGUGAUUUUGGUGCUAAUGGAAAUUGUGGCAAAGUGGAGGGGUGGCUGGAAGAAUUAGCCAUUCUUGUACUUUCCUGAACUGUUGAAUACUCUUCCCCCAGAGCCCCUCCUCUGGCUUUAGAAAAGGCCUUGGUCAGGGAGGGUGUCCGGGAGAGGACGGCAGGACGUGCUGCAGAGACCCAAGUAUCGUCCCUGAAACAGCAAGAGGGCUGCCAGCUGGGUGACCUGGAGGCCAUGGCCGCAGAGGUGGUGGCUGGGCUCCUUCCAAGUCCUUUUGCCCGGCUCCCUGUGCUCAGGUAAAAUCGCUGGAUUGUUUUUGAGAGAGGAAGGGACAUUCCACCAACAACAUCUGCCACUCAGGGCUGUCAAUAGCUCAGCCUUCUUGGUGGUCCCCAGCUAUUGUUUCUUGCAACCUGGCCAUCCAUUUUGAUCAAGCUGCAGGGGGAGAUAAGACUGAACUUGACAAGCUGCAGGCCCUUGCCUAGGAAUUCCACACCUAGUGCCCUGCUUCCUCUCCAUUUCCUGGAAGCAGGACAAUUUUGGGACCCAAGAACCAGCCCUAGUGUUGUUAGGGGUUGGGGGACCAACACAGAUGCAAACUCAGGUUGCUUCUAGAGGUCCCACACAUUUCUUGGGGACCUAAAUUGCAACUGAGUUUGUGCGGCGAAGGGAAAAUCCAUCUUCUUGUGGCUCACACAGCUCCAGCCUUGAGGUUGAGCCUUCGGUGGUCUACAGAUUGCCCUUGUAAGGGCAGCAGAUAAGCUAACUUGAGUAAUUUAGCAUUUCCUUCUCACUGUGUGUGUGAGCUACAUAACCUUUAAAAAUACAGGCUCCCGGGCCCCACCUCAGACCUGCUGAUUCUGAAUCUCCAGGAGUGGGGUCCAGGUCUGUAUUGUUAUUAAAGCGCUCUCCUCCAAACCAGCCUCGGAGACACUGGCCUCAGGAUAAUUCCUAAAUGGAUUCUUCAUUCCAAAGGAUCCAGGCGAGAGAGAGUCGAGGUUGAGUGGUGAGAAACCAGCUUGAUUUACAUGAGGGUGGGGGUGAGAGAGGUUGCCACUGCCUCGAGACCUGCUCUGUGAACAACUGGAGGCUGUAAUUAUACAUGCAAAGUGAAGCUAAAAUUUCAGAGAAGUAUCUGGAGAAUUCAAGUCAGAAGAAGCACGUUCAUCUGAAAUACCUAGAUAAUUAAAGAAAAAAUAUAUUCAUUGCAUAAAUUGCUCAUUAAUUCACUCCUCUGUGGGGGCACACAGUUUAAAAGCAGGCACUUUGAUUAAUCCAAGCUGUAUUAAAUCCUCAAGAUGCUUUUUUUUUUUUUUUCCUGUGUCUGGAUCUUCA
Molecule: long non-coding RNA, 2963 nt
Organism: Equus asinus (donkey)
Lineage: Eukaryota; Metazoa; Chordata; Mammalia; Perissodactyla; Equidae
Source: Ensembl